RNAcentral lists this long non-coding RNA (1092 nucleotides) under Musa acuminata (dwarf banana). Its description in RNAcentral is "long non-coding RNA (MACU_LNC005865)". The record is from RNAcentral. Lineage: Eukaryota; Viridiplantae; Streptophyta; Magnoliopsida; Zingiberales; Musaceae.
GCUACUGUCCCAAAGCAACAGCAUUUGGCAACAAGAUCAUAAGAUUACAGGACAUCUUGGUAAUGGAAGAAAGUAGAGAGAGAGAGAGAGCAUUGAUUGAGCCGCUUACGCCAAUAUCACUUACCACACUUUCUGCAUCCUCGUGUUGGCCACCUUCGUCUUCAUCUGCACUGUCCUGAGACUUCUCAUAACCUGUCAUUUUCUCCGUAGCCGAUUCUUAUAUUGUCAGUGCGACAAGUUGAACAAGGUCAGUGCAAAAGGCCUCAGGAAAAGAAACAAAACGAACAUUGCCAUUAAUCCUCCUUGUUUCUCCUUAGCUGGGAGACCAUCCGAUCCUCCAAUGCGUCACUGCUGCUGCUUCGAUUAGCUCGGCAAUGGUUGCUGAAGGUUCCAGUCCCUCGUAGGUUGUUCUGAUCUUCUUUAUUCCUUCUCCGUCAUCUCCUUUCUCACCUCUCCUGAAGCUAAAGAGAAAUAAGAACGAAUAGAACAUGACAUUCUUGGUGAUGGCUCUACUUCUUCUCUCCUUUCCCAUACACCACUACACGCCAACUCCAGAAAACAAAACAAAACAAAACCCAAAGCCAAUAAAACGAAGAGAAAGAAGUUAAAAAAGAGACUCAGUGCACUCCUCCCUUCUCAUACCCUCUUUUGCCUCGCAUAACCCUACACAGUAUACUGCCUCCACGAUAAAUGACCGGAACACCCGUCUCCUUCCAACCCACACAACAUACUGACCCGAAGGGCAGUUCGGGGACUCGGAGAUCAAGGAGGCGUUCUUCCGCCGGUUCUACGUAUCGAUAGGCGUCGUUUUGGAAAGGGAAGCUCUGUGACUGUGUCCGUCUCUCUCUCAGCAGCAGCAGCAGCCAAUGCCACCUACUCGCUCGCUGCUAUCCUUUUCGCCAUUCAUGGACGCAGCAGAGGGAGCAGUUAUCGACCUCAAUAAAUACCGCAGCACUUUCCUUAGUAUAGCGCCAAUGUAUGCUGUUCGUUGAUCUAUUCAAGAGAUUACAUGAAGUAAAAGCACCAUACUUUUCAUGAUAUCAUUACUCAUUUAUCACAUGUAUACAACCUAAUGUUGAGAGGAAGCUUCGU